This 484-nucleotide ribosomal RNA is filed under the name uncultured bacterium. RNAcentral describes it as "partial 16S ribosomal RNA". It matches the Rfam family "Bacterial small subunit ribosomal RNA", at positions 30 to 507 of the family's 1533-position model. The record is from RNAcentral.
AUUGAACGCUGGCGGCAGGCCUAACACAUGCAAGUCGAGCGGAUGAAGGGAGCUUGCUCCUGGAUUCAGCGGCGGACGGGUGAGUAAUGCCUAGGAAUCUGCCUGGUAGUGGGGGAUAACGUCCGGAAACGGGCGCUAAUACCGCAUACGUCCUGAGGGAGAAAGUGGGGGAUCUUCGGACCCCACGCUAUCAGAUGAGCCUAGGUCGGAUUAGCUAGUUGGUUGGGUAAAGGCCUACCAAGGCGACGAUCCGUAACUGGUCUGAGAGGAUGAUCAGUCACACUGGAACUGAGACACGGUCCAGACUCCUACGGGAGGCAGCAGUGGGGAAUAUUGGACAAUGGGCGAAAGCCUGAUCCAGCCAUGCCGCGUGUGUGAAGAAGGUCUUCGGAUUGUAAAGCACUUUAAGUUGGGAGGAAGGGCAGUAAGUUAAUACCUUGCUGUUUUGACGUUACCAACAGAAUAAGCACCGGCUAACUUCGUG